CCGGCCUUAGCUCAGUUGGUAGAGCGGAAGACUGUAGUGUUACUGUCAUCUUUAGGUCGCUAGUUCGAAUCUGGCAGGCCGGA
This 83-nucleotide transfer RNA is filed under the name Syncephalastrum racemosum. It matches the Rfam family "tRNA". Rfam says of the family: Transfer RNA (tRNA) molecules are approximately 80 nucleotides in length. Their secondary structure includes four short double-helical elements and three loops (D, anti-codon, and T loops). The record is from Rfam by way of RNAcentral. Lineage: Eukaryota; Fungi; Mucoromycota; Mucoromycetes; Mucorales; Syncephalastraceae.